This is a small nuclear RNA of Grammomys surdaster, 162 nucleotides long. RefSeq annotates it as U1 spliceosomal RNA. Lineage: Eukaryota; Metazoa; Chordata; Mammalia; Rodentia; Muridae. The record is from RefSeq and is a predicted model, not a curated record. The transcript has a single exon.
UUACUUACCUGACAAGGGUGAUACCACAGUCAUGAAGUCGAUUUUCUCAAGGCGAGGUUUAUCCAUUGCACCCCAAAUUUGCUGACCCUGUGUGUCCCCAAAUGUGGGAAACUCAACUGCAUAAUUUGUGGUAGUGGGGGACUCCACUCACCCUCUCCCCCG